AGAGAAAAGUGUGGGAAAUUCAAGGAAACAAGUGACAAAAGGUGGUGAGUCCUCCGAUAAAGGCAAGGAAAUUGCAUUCGAGGACCAGUAGUCAAAGUACUUCGAAAAUUUGCACUCUAGACAUUGCUCAGUAUAGGUUGUAGAUAGCCAAUAUCGUCAAAGGCUACAGUUGGCUUUACUUCCUAAAAAACUGUAG
Theobroma cacao (cacao) is the source of this 196-nucleotide non-coding RNA. The record is from RefSeq and is a predicted model, not a curated record. Lineage: Eukaryota; Viridiplantae; Streptophyta; Magnoliopsida; Malvales; Malvaceae.